RNAcentral lists this ribosomal RNA (440 nucleotides) under uncultured Duganella sp. Its description in RNAcentral is "bacterial SSU rRNA". It matches the Rfam family "Bacterial small subunit ribosomal RNA", at positions 358 to 790 of the family's 1533-position model. Lineage: Bacteria; Pseudomonadati; Pseudomonadota; Betaproteobacteria; Burkholderiales; Oxalobacteraceae. The record is from RNAcentral.
GGAAUUUUGGACAAUGGGCGCAAGCCUGAUCCAGCAAUGCCGCGUGAGUGAAGAAGGCCUUCGGGUUGUAAAGCUCUUUUGUCAGGGAAGAAACGGGUUUUUCUAAUACAGAGAUCUAAUGACGGUACCUGAAGAAUAAGCACCGGCUAACUACGUGCCAGCAGCCGCGGUAAUACGUAGGGUGCAAGCGUUAAUCGGAAUUACUGGGCGUAAAGCGUGCGCAGGCGGUUUUGUAAGACUGUCGUGAAAUCCCCGGGCUCAACCUGGGAAUGGCGAUGGUGACUGCAAGGCUAGAGUUUGGCAGAGGGGGGUAGAAUUCCACGUGUAGCAGUGAAAUGCGUAGAUAUGUGGAGGAACACCGAUGGCGAAGGCAGCCCCCUGGGUCAAAACUGACGCUCAUGCACGAAAGCGUGGGGAGCAAACAGGAUUAGAUACCCUGG